Molecule: unclassified non-coding RNA, 185 nt
Filed under: uncultured fungus
Lineage: Eukaryota; Fungi
Description: sequence contains ITS1
Source: RNAcentral
UUGAUUGAUUGUUUUUUCAAUACUCGACGUAAAGACGCAGUGUGUUUGGUUGGACCUCUGGGGGACUCCCGGCGCAGGGUCCGGGUCGCCCCCCGAGGCAACGGAUAGUAAUCGACAAAGGGUUGGAGGUUGGGCGCGAGGGCCCGCACUCGGUAAUGAUCCCUCCGCAGGUUCACCUACGGAGA